RNAcentral lists this ribosomal RNA (345 nucleotides) under uncultured Symbiodinium. RNAcentral's name for it is "partial Bacterial small subunit ribosomal RNA". It matches the Rfam family "Bacterial small subunit ribosomal RNA", at positions 463 to 807 of the family's 1533-position model. Lineage: Eukaryota; Dinophyceae; Suessiales; Symbiodiniaceae. The record is from RNAcentral.
AAGAUAAUGACGGUACCCGCAGAAGAAGCCCCGGCUAACUCCGUGCCAGCAGCCGCGGUAAUACGGAGGGUGCAAGCGUUGUCCGGAUUUAUUGGGUUUAAAGGGUGCGUAGGCGGAUCUUUAAGUCUGUGGUGAAAGCCCAUCGCUUAACGAUGGAACUGCCAUGGAUACUGGGGAUCUUGAAUUCAGUUGAGGUAGGCGGAAUUGAUGGUGUAGCGGUGAAAUGCAUAGAUACCAUCAAGAACACCGAUUGCGAAGGCAGCUUACUGGGCUUGAAUUGACGCUGAUGCACGAAAGCGUGGGGAGCGAACAGGAUUAGAUACCCUGGUAGUCCACGCCGUAAAC